CCUACGGGUGGCAGCAGUGAGGAAUAUUGGUCAAUGGACGCAAUUCUGAACCAGCCAUGCCGCGUGCAGGAAGACGGCUCUAUGAGUUGUAAACUGCUUUUGUACGGGGGUAAACGCAGAUACGCGUAUCUGUCUGAAAGUAUCGUACGAAUAAGGAUCGGCUAACUCCGUGCCAGCAGCCGCGGUAAUACGGAGGAUUCAAGCGUUAUCCGGAUUUAUUGGGUUUAAAGGGUGCGUAGGCGGUCGGAUAAGUUAGAGGUGAAAUCCCGAGGCUCAACUUCGGAAUUGCCGCUGAUACUGUUCGGCUAGAGAGUAGAUGCGGUAGGCGGAAUGUAUGGUGUAGCGGUGAAAUGCUUAGAGAUCAUACAGAACACCGAUUGCGAAGGCAGCUUACCAGGCUACUUCUGACGUUGAGGCACGAAAGCGUGGGGAGCGAACAGGAUUAGAUACCCCUGUAGUC
Molecule: ribosomal RNA, 460 nt
Filed under: uncultured bacterium
Lineage: Bacteria
Description: partial 16S ribosomal RNA
Rfam family: Bacterial small subunit ribosomal RNA
Source: RNAcentral